AACGUAGGAGGCUAGCGUUAUCCGGAUUUAUUGGGCGUAAAGCGCGUGCAGGCGGUGCUCUAAGUUGGAUGUGAAAUCUCCCGGCCUAACUGGGAGGGGUCAUUCAAUACUGGAGCACUCGAGGGCAGGAGAAGGAAGUGGAAUUCCCGGUGUAGCGGUGGAAUGCGCAGAUAUCGGGAGGAACACCAGUGGCGAAAGCGGCUUCCCGGUCUGUACCUGACGCUGAGACGCGAAAGCUAGGGGAG
This 245-nucleotide ribosomal RNA is filed under the name uncultured Pelolinea sp. RNAcentral's name for it is "partial 16S ribosomal RNA". It matches the Rfam family "Bacterial small subunit ribosomal RNA", at positions 524 to 768 of the family's 1533-position model. The record is from RNAcentral. Lineage: Bacteria; Bacillati; Chloroflexota; Anaerolineae; Anaerolineales; Anaerolineaceae.